Homo sapiens (human) is the source of this 537-nucleotide non-coding RNA. The record is from RefSeq and is a predicted model, not a curated record. Lineage: Eukaryota; Metazoa; Chordata; Mammalia; Primates; Hominidae.
CCCGGGAGGCGGAGGUUGCAGUGAGCCGAGAUCACGCCACUGCACUCCAGCUAAAAUCUCUCUGGCACCAAGGAGGAAGGUCACUCCUAAUAUCAAAGGGACCCAUACGACAAAACUGCUGCAUGGAUGAGAAAACAGCAGAAGCAGAAGCUACCCUCACCUCCCCAUCACUUGUCUGCCCUGAAGCAGGACAUAAGACCCUCAUUUGAGAGGUGCCCUUCCUUAUCUCUGAAGACAAAGGAACAUUCUUAUCUCUGAAGACAUAGGAACAUCGAGAAGAAUGGAGUAUGCUUAUCUAUGAAGACAUGAGAACACAGAGAAGAAUCUGAACAAACGGGGCUUGCUAAGUUCCCUGCAGUUUAUCGGCAUUAGAUUAUACAAUUUUGUCCUCCCUUUGUAUUUCUCUAUGACUGUCCAUGAUUCAUCAAACCUAAACAUAAUAAUAUACAAGUCUACUUGUUUCUUUGGGUCUUCAUUUCCAAAGCCUCCCAUGUUCAUAAAUAUAUUAAAUAAAUGUAUAUGCUUUUCUCUUGUAAA